RNAcentral lists this ribosomal RNA (930 nucleotides) under uncultured bacterium. Its description in RNAcentral is "bacterial SSU rRNA". It matches the Rfam family "Bacterial small subunit ribosomal RNA", at positions 30 to 916 of the family's 1533-position model. RNAcentral also lists the same sequence under 1 other name. The record is from RNAcentral.
UUAACGCUGGCGGCAUGCCUAAGACAUGCAAGUCGAACGGAACACCCCACUGAAGUCUGAAUGAAGUCUGAGAGCUUGCUCAAAGAUGGAAUGACGGUGGACGUGGAUUCUGUGUUCAGUGGCGAACGGGUGAGUAACACGUGGGUUACCUGCCUCUAAGUUGGGGACAACAGUUGGAAACGACUGCUAAUACCGAAUGUGAUAGUAAUAUUAAAGGAGCCUUUAAAGCUUCGCUUAGAGAUGGGCCUGCGGCGUAUUAGCUAGUUGGUGGGGUAAUGGCCUACCAAGGCAACGAUGCGUAGCCGGACUGAGAGGUUGAUCGGCCACACUGGGACUGAGACACGGCCCAGACUCCUACGGGAGACAGCAGUUAGGAAUAUUCGGCAAUGGGGGAAACCCUGACCGAGCAAUGCCGCGUGUGAGAUGAAGGUCCUUCGGAUUGUAAAUCACUUUUAUUUGGGAAGAACUGUAAGUAGAGGAAAUGAUACUUACUUGACGGUACCUUUUGAAUAAGCCCCGGCUAACUACGUGCCAGCAGCCGCGGUAAUACGUAGGGGGCGAGCGUUAUCCGGAUUUAUUGGGCGUAAAGCGUGCGUAGGCGGUUUAUUAAGUCUAGAAUUAAAGCCCGAGGCUUAACCUCGGUUCGUUCUAGAUACUGGUUGACUAGAGUACAGUAGAGGCAAAUGGAAUUCCUAGUGUAGCGGUGGAAUGCGUAGAUAUUAGGAGGAACACCAGUGGCGAAGGCGAUUUGCUGGGCUGUAACUGACGCUGAGGUACGAAAGCGUGGGUAGCAAAUAGGAUUAGAUACCCUAGUAGUCCACGCUGUAAACGAUGAGCACUAAGUGUCGGGUUACCGGUGCUGAAGUUAACACAUUAAGUGCUCCGCCUGAGUAGUACGGUCGCAAGACUGCAACUCAAAGGAAUUGACGG